Molecule: ribosomal RNA, 496 nt
Filed under: uncultured bacterium
Lineage: Bacteria
Description: partial 16S ribosomal RNA
Rfam family: Bacterial small subunit ribosomal RNA
Source: RNAcentral
AUUGAACGCUGGCGGAAUGCUUUACACAUGCAAGUCGAACGGUAGAGGGGGCAACCCCUUGAGAGUGGCGAACGGGUGAGUAAUAUAUCGGAACGUGCCCAGUCGUGGGGGAUAACGUAGUGAAAAUUACGCUAAUACCGCAUACGAUCUAAGGAUGAAAGCGGGGGAUCGCAAGACCUCGCGCGAUUGGAGCGGCCGAUAUCAGAUUAGGUAGUUGGUAGGGUAAAGGCCUACCAAGCCAACGAUCUGUAGCUGGUCUGAGAGGAGGACCAGCCACACUGGAACUGAGACACGGGCCAGACUCCUACGGGAGGCAGCAGUGGGGAAUUUUGGACAGUGGGCGAAAGCCUGAUCCAGCCAUUCCGCGUGCAGGAUGAAGGCCCUCGGGUUGUAAACUGCUUUUGUACAGAACGAAAAGGUCUCUAUUAAUACUAGGGGCUCAUGACGGUACUGUAAGAAUAAGCACCGGCUAACUACGUGCCAGCCGCCGCGGUAA